GAUGAACGCUGGCGGCGUGCCUAAUACAUGCAAGUCGAGCGAACAGACGAGGAGCUUGCUCCUCUGACGUUAGCGGCGGACGGGUGAGAACACGUGGAUAACCUACCUAUAAGACUGGGAUAACUUCGGGAAACCGGAGCUAAUACCGGAUAAUAUAUUGAACCGCAUGGUUCAAUAGUGAAAGACGGUUUUGCUGUCACUUAUAGAUGGAUCCGCGCCGCAUUAGCUAGUUGGUAAGGUAACGGCUUACCAAGGCAACGAUGCGUAGCCGACCUGAGAGGGUGAUCGGCCACACUGGAACUGAGACACGGUCCAGACUCCUACGGGAGGCAGCAGUAGGGAAUCUUCCGCAAUGGGCGAAAGCCUGACGGAGCAGCGCCGCGUGAGUGAUGAAGGUCUUCGGAUCGUAAAACUCUGUUAUUAGGGAAGAACAAAUGUGUAAGUAACUAUGCACGUCUUGACGGUACCUAAUCAGAAAGCCACGGCUAACUACGUG
This 496-nucleotide ribosomal RNA is filed under the name uncultured bacterium. RNAcentral describes it as "partial 16S ribosomal RNA". It matches the Rfam family "Bacterial small subunit ribosomal RNA", at positions 28 to 507 of the family's 1533-position model. The record is from RNAcentral.